AAACUAGGAUUAGAUACCCUAUUAGAAUUAACUAAAAUUUAGUAGUAAGUGUAAAUCAUGAAACUAAAAUUAAUUGGCGGCUAUUUAAAUUUUUUAGAGGAAUUUAUUCUAUAAAGGAUUAGACACCAAAAUCUUACUUUUACUUGCUUUCAGUUUGUAUAUCUCUAUAUAAAAAUAUAAUAAUAUAUCUUAUUUCUUAUUGUUAACUAAAUUUUAGGUAAAGGUGCAGCUUAUGUAAAAGAUUGAAAUAAAUUAUAUUAAUUAAUAUUUAACAAGGUAUUUAUGGUAAAUAGGUAUUAAGUAAAAUUUAAAAGUAAAAUUAAUAGAUUAGGUUAAUUUGAAUAAUAGUUUAAUUGUGUACAUAUUGCCCGUCACUCUCUUAUUAGAGAUAAGUCGUAACAUAGUA
This 406-nucleotide ribosomal RNA is filed under the name Euseius nicholsi. RNAcentral's name for it is "partial 12S ribosomal RNA". The record is from RNAcentral. Lineage: Eukaryota; Metazoa; Arthropoda; Arachnida; Mesostigmata; Phytoseiidae.